RNAcentral lists this ribosomal RNA (214 nucleotides) under Escherichia coli. RNAcentral's name for it is "partial 16S ribosomal RNA". It matches the Rfam family "Bacterial small subunit ribosomal RNA", at positions 1265 to 1478 of the family's 1533-position model. The record is from RNAcentral. Lineage: Bacteria; Pseudomonadati; Pseudomonadota; Gammaproteobacteria; Enterobacterales; Enterobacteriaceae.
AUGCGGACCUCAUAAAGUGCGUCAUAGUCCGGAUUGGUGUAUGCAACUUGACUCCAUGAAGUCGGAAUCGGAGUAAUUGUGGAUUAGAAUGCCACGGUGAAUACGUUCCCGGGCCUUGACACACCGCCUGUCACACCAUGGGAGUGGGUUGCAAAAGAAGUAGGUAGCUUAACUUUCGGGAGGCGCUUACCAAUUUUGUAAGAAUUUUUUCUAC